UCUCUCUUAGCUUAUCUUUCCCUCUCUAAACUUUUAACUCUUUUUCUCUCUAAGUUAAGCUCUCUCGACCCCUCUUUUUCUAAAACCUCAACUCUCUCACGCCCUCUAAUCUCGACUCUAUCUCUCUCCCUAUUUUUUUAAUUAUGCUCUCUCUCCUCUCUCUCUAAAAUCUCAAAUCUGUUGCUCCCUCUAACCCCAAAUCUCUCUAUUUAAGCUAACUCUUCCUCUCUUUUUGUCUCUUCACAUCUCUAACUUAAGAAACUCUCUUUAUAAUCUCAAUUUUCUCUUCCUUUAACUGAUCGUCCCUAGAGCAAGUGGCAAAGGGUUUGGUGGUUGGUACCCGAGACCCAAGUUCGAAUCCUAGUUGAUUCACAUUUCUAGCUAAGUUUAUUUCUAAAUGAAAUACACGAAGCGGGUAGCGUGCUACCUAUCUCUCAAAAAAAAACUCUCUUCCUUUAACUUCAAAUUUUUCUCUCUCUAAGCUAAGUUCUCUCAAUUUACCUACAAAUAAAAUUUUCAUUAUUGUUGAAAAGAAAAGGUAUAUUUGUCGUUAUUUUGUUUAUUACUAUUUGAUCAUUGAUAUCUAUCCGAUUUUUUCUAAAAAGAUGUUGAAAUUUUUGAUAGCAUUAUUUGAAAUUAAUUAACAAAACAAAUACAUUAAUUGUAUAUUUUUAGUAANUAAGUUCUCUCAAUUUACCUACAAAUAAAAUUUUCAUUAUUGUUGAAA
RNAcentral lists this long non-coding RNA (727 nucleotides) under Ananas comosus (pineapple). Its description in RNAcentral is "long non-coding RNA (ACOM_LNC030674)". Lineage: Eukaryota; Viridiplantae; Streptophyta; Magnoliopsida; Poales; Bromeliaceae. The record is from RNAcentral.